Molecule: long non-coding RNA, 622 nt
Organism: Mytilus californianus (California mussel)
Lineage: Eukaryota; Metazoa; Mollusca; Bivalvia; Mytilida; Mytilidae
Exons: 2
Source: RefSeq, a predicted model, not a curated record
AAUUAAUCAUGAACUUUGCACCCCAUAUAAUAGAAAUUCCAAAAUUUCACCCCACCCCAAAACAUAAUAAAUUAAUAGAACCAGCUUGCAUACAGAAUCAUACAGUAAAUAUAAAUAUUUGUGAAUAACCCCUUCCCCUAAAAAUAUGCCCCCUUUUUUGGUGGCUGCUGAUGUCAAAUAUAUUGUUUUCAUUCCUUUUUUUUCUAUUCUUUUUAACAAUCUAAAGAGAAAGACGAAUAUAUCAGUUCAUAAACAAUGGUUGAUAACUUGUAAUAUAAACAACUGAUAUAUCUAUUGGAAUAGUGAUUUUUAAAUUUUCGCGGCAUUUUUAACAUUUGUAUUUUAAGACAAAUUCAGAUAUGCGCAUGCGCAGUUGUAUUUGUUGCCAAAGUUUGAAUAUCCACUUUCGAGACCACAAUGUGAUUCUACAGAGUUUUUAUCAAUAUCUUUCCUGUAUACAGCUUUUAUAUUUUAUCAUGUCAUCAUGAAGACCUAUGGAAUCACGGAACAACAAGUGUCUGACCAAACAACAACCUUUCUAAAAUGGGCUCCAAAAAGACAGGGUGGGAGAAGAAAGAAGUUGAAGUUUUCACUAUUAAUAAAUAAAUUUAUUUUAAUUUUA